GAUGAAGAACGUAGCGAAAUGCGAUAAGUAAUGUGAAUUGCAGAAUUCAGUGAAUCAUCGAAUCUUUGAACGCACAUUGCGCCCCCUGGUAUUCCGGGGGGCAUGCCUGUCCGAGCGUCAUUGCUGCCCUCAAGCACGGCUUGUGUGUUGGGCUUCCGUCCCUGGCAACGGGGACGGGCCCAAAAGGCAGUGGCGGCACCAUGUCUGGUCCUCGAGCGUAUGGGGCUUUGUCACCCGCUCCCGUAGGUCCAGCUGGCAGCUAGCCUCGCAACCAAUCUUUUUAACCAGGUUGACCUCGGAUCAGGUAGGGAUACCCGCUGAACUUAAGCAUAUCAAUAAGCGGAGGA
RNAcentral lists this unclassified non-coding RNA (347 nucleotides) under soil metagenome. RNAcentral's name for it is "partial contains 5.8S ribosomal RNA, internal transcribed spacer 2, and large subunit ribosomal RNA". The stretch from base 1 to 120 matches the Rfam family "5.8S ribosomal RNA", at positions 35 to 154 of the family's 154-position model. The record is from RNAcentral.